AACGAACGCUGGCGGCAGGCUUAACACAUGCAAGUCGAGCGCCCCGCAAGGGGAGCGGCAGACGGGUGAGUAACGCGUGGGAACGUACCUUUUGGUUCGGAACAACUCCGGGAAACUGGAGCUAAUACCGGAUAAGCCCUAACGGGGAAAGAUUUAUCGCCGAAAGAUCGGCCCGCGUCUGAUUAGCUAGUUGGUGAGGUAACGGCUCACCAAGGCGACGAUCAGUAGCUGGUCUGAGAGGAUGAUCAGCCACACUGGGACUGAGACACGGCCCAGACUCCUACGGGAGGCAGCAGCGGGGAAUAUUGGACAAUGGGCGCAAGCCUGAUCCAGCCAUGCCGCGUGAGUGAUGAAGGCCUUAGGGUUGUAAAGCUCUUUUGUCCGGGAAGAUAAUGACUGUACCGGAAGAAUAAGCCCCGGCUAACUUCGUG
This 431-nucleotide ribosomal RNA is filed under the name uncultured bacterium. Its description in RNAcentral is "partial 16S ribosomal RNA". It matches the Rfam family "Bacterial small subunit ribosomal RNA", at positions 29 to 507 of the family's 1533-position model. The record is from RNAcentral.